AUACGUAGGUGGCAAGCGUUAUCCGGAUUUACUGGGCGUAAAGGGCGUGUAGGCGGUUUAGCAAGUCAGAAGUGAAAUUCCCGGGCUUAACUUGGGCGCUGCUUCUGAAACUGCUUUACUUGAGUGCUGGAGAGGAUAGUGGAAUUCCUAGUGUAGCGGUAAAAUGCGCAGAUAUUAGGAGGAACACCGGUGGCGAAGGCGGCUAUCUGGACAGUAACUGACGCUGAGGCGCGAAAGCACGGGGAGCAAACAGGAUUAGAUACCCUGGUAGUCCGUGCCGUAAACGAUGAAUACUAGGUGUAGGGGGUAUCGACUCCCUCUGUGCCGCAGUUAACACAUUAAGUAUUCCACCUGGGGAGUACGGCAGCAAGGUUGAAACUCUAAUGAAAUUACGGGG
This 397-nucleotide ribosomal RNA is filed under the name uncultured bacterium. RNAcentral describes it as "partial 16S ribosomal RNA". It matches the Rfam family "Bacterial small subunit ribosomal RNA", at positions 523 to 918 of the family's 1533-position model. The record is from RNAcentral.